RNAcentral lists this ribosomal RNA (253 nucleotides) under uncultured bacterium. RNAcentral's name for it is "partial 16S ribosomal RNA". It matches the Rfam family "Bacterial small subunit ribosomal RNA", at positions 524 to 776 of the family's 1533-position model. The record is from RNAcentral.
UACGGAGGGCGCAAGCGUUAUUCGGAAUCACUGGGCGUAAAGCGCGUGUAGGCGGCCGGGUAAGUCGGAUGUGAAAUCUCGAGGCUCAACCUUGGAACUGCAUUCGAAACUGCUCGGCUCGAGUCCCGGAGAGGAUGGCGGAAUUCCCGGUGUAGGGGUGAAAUCCGUAGAUAUCGGGAGGAACACCAGUGGCGAAGGCGGCCAUCUGGACGGUGACUGACGCUGAGACGCGAAAGCUUGGGGAGCAAACAGG